RNAcentral lists this transfer RNA (72 nucleotides) under Chloroflexota bacterium. RNAcentral's name for it is "tRNA-Thr". It matches the Rfam family "tRNA". From Rfam's summary of the family: Transfer RNA (tRNA) molecules are approximately 80 nucleotides in length. Their secondary structure includes four short double-helical elements and three loops (D, anti-codon, and T loops). Lineage: Bacteria; Bacillati; Chloroflexota. The record is from RNAcentral.
GCCGACGUAGCUCAGUGGUAGAGCAGCUGUUUCGUAAACAGCAGGCCAAGAGUUCGAAUCUCUUCGUCGGCU